Molecule: microRNA, 19 nt
Filed under: Tribolium castaneum (red flour beetle)
Lineage: Eukaryota; Metazoa; Arthropoda; Insecta; Coleoptera; Tenebrionidae
Description: tca-miR-6010-3p
Source: miRBase by way of RNAcentral
UAAGGGUGCUCGACUUGUA